GAUGGACAACGCUCUAUACAUCCCCCAGGCCCUUCAGCUAUUCAUUGAAAAUAAGAAAUGAUAAAACACCAAGAAAAUAUCAGGACCCAACAUGUGAUUUUAGAGGCAGUUUAUUUCCACUGCAGUACUGCACCACAAGAACAUGUGUAAGAACUAUAGAUUAUAUUUUUAUGUUUCAGUCAAAUGAGGAAACCAUAUGUUCUAAUAGGAAAUUCUAAAUGCCAUUAAAAUACAUAUAGGACUUCAUACAUAUUUAGGCGCUUUACUAUGUUUUUACAAGAUCAUAACUAAUAUUACUUGAAUUCCAGAUAGAUAGAGAUUCUAUACACACUUAUAUGCAGAUAUGUACUAGUGCAUAACUGAACUAAGU
Molecule: unclassified non-coding RNA, 370 nt
Filed under: Hevea brasiliensis (rubber tree)
Lineage: Eukaryota; Viridiplantae; Streptophyta; Magnoliopsida; Malpighiales; Euphorbiaceae
Source: RNAcentral